Molecule: ribosomal RNA, 432 nt
Filed under: uncultured bacterium
Lineage: Bacteria
Description: partial 16S ribosomal RNA
Rfam family: Bacterial small subunit ribosomal RNA
Source: RNAcentral
AACGAACGCUGGCGGCAUGCCUAACACAUGCAAGUCGAACGAGACCUUCGGGUCUAGUGGCGCACGGGUGCGUAACGCGUGGGAACCUGCCCUUAGGUUCGGAAUAACUCCCCGAAAGGGGUGCUAAUACCGGAUAAUGUCUUCGGACCAAAGAUUUAUCGCCUUUGGAUGGGCCCGCGUUGGAUUAGCUAGUUGGUAGGGUAAAAGCCUACCAAGGCGACGAUCCAUAGCUGGUCGGAGAGGAUGAUCAGCCACACUGGGACUGAGACACGGCCCAGACUCCUACGGGGGGCAGCAGUGGGGAAUAUUGGACAAUGGGCGAAGGCCUGAUACAGCAAUGCCGCGUGAGUGAUGAAGGCCUUAGGGUUGUAAAGCUCUUUUACCCGGGAUGAUAAUGACAGUACCGGGAGAAUAAGCUCCGGCUAACUCCGU